RNAcentral lists this ribosomal RNA (464 nucleotides) under uncultured bacterium. RNAcentral's name for it is "partial 16S ribosomal RNA". It matches the Rfam family "Bacterial small subunit ribosomal RNA", at positions 338 to 795 of the family's 1533-position model. The record is from RNAcentral.
CCUACGGGAGGCUGCAGUAGGGAAUCUUCGUCAAUGGGCGCAAGCCUGAACGAGCAAUGCCGCGUGAACGAGGAAGGUCUUCGGAUCGUAAAGUUCUGUUGAAGGGGAAAAAGAGCGGAGAGAGGAAAUGCUUUCUGAUUGAUAUUACACUUCGAGGAAGUCACGGCUAACUACGUGCCAGCAGCCGCGGUAAUACGGAGGUGUCGAGCGUUAUCCGGAAUAAUGGGGCGUAAAGGGGGCGUAGGCGGCCUGCUAAGUCUGGAGUGAAAGGUACCGGCUCAACCGGGACAGGCCCUCGAGACUGGCGGGAUAGAGAGCAGGAGAGGGCAGUGGAACUCCAUGUGUAGCGGUAAAAUGCGUAGAUAUAUGGAAGAACACCAGUGGCGAAGGCGGCCGCCUGGCCUGUUACUGACGCUGAGGCACGAAAGCGUGGGGAGCAAAUAGGAUUAGAUACCCGAGUAGUC